AUUGAACGCUGGCGGCAGGCUUAACACAUGCAAGUCGAGCGGUAACAGAGAGAAGCUUGCUUCUCUGCUGACGAGCGGCGGACGGGUGAGUAAUGCCUAGGAAUCUGCCUAGUAGUGGGGGAUAACUUGCCGAAAGGUAAGCUAAUACCGCAUACGUCCUACGGGAGAAAGGAGGGGACCUUCGGGCCUUUCGCUAUUAGAUGAGCCUAGGUCGGAUUAGUUAGUUGGUGAGGUAAUGGCUCACCAAGACCGCGAUCCGUAACUGGUCUGAGAAGAAGAGCAGGCCCACUGGAACUGGGACACGGCUCAGACCCCUACGGGAGGCAGCAGUGGGGAAUAUUGGACAAUGGGGGGAACCCUGAUUCAGCCAUGCCGCGUGUGUGAAGAAGGUCUUAGGAUUGUAAAGCACUUUAAGUUGGGAGGAAGAGCAGUUAACUAAUAUUUGACUGUUUUGACGUUACCGACAGAAUAAGCACCGGCUAACUUCGUGCCAGCCGCCGCCGUAA
RNAcentral lists this ribosomal RNA (506 nucleotides) under uncultured bacterium. RNAcentral describes it as "partial 16S ribosomal RNA". It matches the Rfam family "Bacterial small subunit ribosomal RNA", at positions 30 to 523 of the family's 1533-position model. The record is from RNAcentral.